This 375-nucleotide RNase P RNA is filed under the name Sediminibacterium sp. RNAcentral's name for it is "RNase P RNA component class A". It matches the Rfam family "Bacterial RNase P class A". From Rfam's summary of the family: Ribonuclease P (RNase P) is a ubiquitous endoribonuclease, found in archaea, bacteria and eukarya as well as chloroplasts and mitochondria. Its best characterised activity is the generation of mature 5'-ends of tRNAs by cleaving the 5'-leader elements of precursor-tRNAs. Cellular RNase Ps are ribonucleoproteins. The record is from RNAcentral. Lineage: Bacteria; Pseudomonadati; Bacteroidota; Chitinophagia; Chitinophagales; Chitinophagaceae.
CUACAAACCCGAGCUAUCGUUCCGAUUUUAUCGGGAAGGAAAGUCCGGACAGCGCAGAGCAACCCACCGGUUAAUAGCCGGCUUCCCGGUUUUAACCGGGAAAGAGAAAGUGCCACAGAAAAUAACUACCCACGAUGAAAAUCGGGGGAAAAGGUGAAAAUGUGAGGUAAAAGCUCACGGUCCUGAUUGGUAACAAACGGGAUGGGUAAACCUUGGGUGCUGUAAUGCCACAUAUAGGAUCCUCUGAGGGCUGCUCGCCCAAUUCCGCUUCAUGCGGGAAGGGUCCAGGGUAGGCAGCAAGAUCGUGCCAGUAAUGGCAUGGCCAGAUAAAUGAUAGUUUAGAAACAGAAUCCGGCUUAUGAGGUUUGUAGUUUU